AUUGAACGCUGGCGGCAUGCUUUACACAUGCAAGUCGAACGGUAACAGGCCUUCGGGUGCUGACGAGUGGCGAACGGGGGAGUAAUGCAUCGGAACGUACCCAGAGGUGGGGAUAACGCAGCGAAAGCUGUGCUAAUACCGCAUGUGAUCUGAGGAUGAAAGCGGGGGACCGAGCAGCAAUGUUUGGCCUCGCGCCUUUGGAGCGGCCGAUGUCGGAUUAGCUAGUUGGUGGGGUAAAGGCCUACCAAGGCGACGAUCCGUAGCUGGUCUGAGAGGACGAUCAGCCACACUGGGACUGAGACACGGCCCAGACUCCUACGGGAGGCAGCAGUGGGGAAUUUUGGACAAUGGGCGCAAGCCUGAUCCAGCCAUGCCGCGUGCGGGAAGAAGGCCUUCGGGUUGUAAACCGCUUUUGGCAGGAACGAAACGGUGUCCGCUAAUACCGUGCGCUAUUGACGGUACCUGCAGAAUAAGCACCGGCUAACUACGUG
This 491-nucleotide ribosomal RNA is filed under the name uncultured bacterium. RNAcentral's name for it is "partial 16S ribosomal RNA". It matches the Rfam family "Bacterial small subunit ribosomal RNA", at positions 30 to 507 of the family's 1533-position model. The record is from RNAcentral.